AGCGAACGCUGGCGGCAGGCUUAACACAUGCAAGUCGAGCGGGCAUAGCAAUAUGUCAGCGGCAGACGGGUGAGUAACGCGUGGGAACGUACCUUUUGGUUCGGAACAACUGAGGGAAACUUCAGCUAAUACCGGAUAAGCCCUUACGGGGAAAGAUUUAUCGCCGAAAGAUCGGCCCGCGUCUGACUAGCUAGUUGGUGAGGUAAUGGCUCACCAAGGCGACGAUCAGUAGCCGGUCUGGGAGGAUGAUCAGCCACAUUGGGACUGAGACACGGCCCAAACUCCUACGGGAGGCAGCAGUGGGGAAUAUUGGACAAUGGGCGCAAGCCUGAUCCAGCCAUGCCGCGUGAGUGAUGAAGGCCCUAGGGUUGUAAAGCUCUUUUGUGCGGGAAGAUAAUGACGGUACCGCAAGAAUAAGCUCCGGCUAACUUCGUGUCAGCCGCCGCGGUAA
Molecule: ribosomal RNA, 451 nt
Filed under: uncultured bacterium
Lineage: Bacteria
Description: partial 16S ribosomal RNA
Rfam family: Bacterial small subunit ribosomal RNA
Source: RNAcentral